Long non-coding RNA from Lates calcarifer (barramundi perch), 1408 nucleotides. RefSeq lists it as uncharacterized. The transcript has 7 exons. The record is from RefSeq and is a predicted model, not a curated record. Lineage: Eukaryota; Metazoa; Chordata; Actinopteri; Centropomidae.
UACAGGAAGUGAUACUUUACACUGCCAUGCCACGCGGGGACGUGAAUCUGAUGAUAAGUUCAUACAUGGGAAGUGCCAUCACAGGCCUACGGUUUGCGUCGUUACCGUUUAUGGAGUACCAAAUGUUGUUGUUAAUAAGGAGGAAAUUUUAAGACACUGACCGAAAAACGCCGUCAAAAUGGCUACACCCGGUGUUUGGAGCAGAGGCGGAUAGUGCUAAUGCUCGUGUGUGUACUGACAACCUCCCCUAAGUUAAGGCUGCCCCAGUGUUUCAACAACAUUGUGUCUGUAGACUGGGCUCCUGCAGUUAACCUUGGUUAUCAGAGAGGUAUGCCCAUGUCGGAUACAUCACAUCUACAUGAGGUGAGGAUGAAGUCCAGAGACGAUCUCAGGUGGUGCAGAGGCCUUGCUGGAUCUCCAUGAGUCAGCCUAUUACCCAGAGCCAGAGGACGUCACUGAAAUGUUACACAAUCUAUAAGGACUGCCAUAUCAGCAGGGGUUUGCAGCUACACUGAUCACCCGCUGUCCACACCACCAGUGGCACUAUUCAUGCUCAUCAGAUUCAUCCAGAUGACCAUAUGGGCAGGAGAGGAGCAAGAGAUCUACACAAGAGAAUUCAUUAGCGGCCUCGGACUGCACAGCACCAUCAUCCCUCUGUUUCUUUCAGGUCACCGUUUCAUGUUUUCCUCUUCACUGGUGAGAUCUUGAUGUCUUUUCUUCUGCCUGCCAUUCGUCUGUUUAAGAUGCUGGAUGGUACCCAAACACUUGAAGGUCCCAUUGACCAUGAUGGCCAGUCGAGUGCAGAGGGCCUCACACUCCUCCAUGCUGGUGGAAAAACAGACAACCUGGGCAAUAAUAAUAUGUAUUCUAAAAUGAUGCCACAUGAAUGGAUCAAUAGUUAUAUGAGUAUAAAAACAAAAGAAGAAGAAAUCGGAGCAUCUCAUUGGUCGAAAGACCGACCAGAAGUCGAAGUCCGCUAACAUAAUUUCCACGCUUUUAUCACAAAAUGUAAUGAAUGAUGAACGAAUCACGGAAUUAUCACGUGGGGCGCCCGCGCACCAGCGGAGUUCUAAAUUAACACGUCUCUCUCUCUCUCUCUCUGUGAAGAGCCGCCCCGCCCCUCAGUGAUCAGAGCGACAGGGAGUUUUUGUUUAUGACGCUGUGGAAAAAGACUGCAGCCAUCGGCCACUAUCAGAGCCAAGUUCCGCCGAUUCCGAUAGUUUGUAAAACGUCCCAUCGGCGACCUCUAAUCCAUAUACGUGAAUGUAUUAAUAAAAAAAACGCGAGGACAUAACAGAGCUAUAACAGACACCCAGACAAAAUAACACCAGAGAUAAAUAUACCUCAUUAUGCUGCCUACUGAUGGUAACUGCUGUCUGGCUCAAAGCUCAAUCAGUGUGUGGGUUUA